This is a long non-coding RNA of Monodelphis domestica (gray short-tailed opossum), 348 nucleotides long. Lineage: Eukaryota; Metazoa; Chordata; Mammalia; Didelphimorphia; Didelphidae. The record is from Ensembl.
CCCCAUCUUCACAUCUGGUUCUCAUCACCUAGUCACCUAGUUGUCCCUUGAACACAAUACUCUUAGAGGUGAUCUGACCAAGGCAAAGACCAUGGAGGGUAAUCAUUCCUUGACAUUUUUUUUCAGGAAGUCCAACUUCUCAUGAACUUCUUUGGCUGCCAUGUAACACUGAUGAUUCAAGAGACUGCCUUGGCUGGAGAAGAUUACUGUUGAAAGAAGAAGACCCUUUUUGUUUUCUCUAUUUCCCCCUCUCAUGGCUAAGGUAGGCAGGGUGGCUCAAUUCAAUUCUGGGAUUCCUCUUCAUUGGCUAUUGGAAUGAAUAGCUAUUCUAGUGUCAGUGGGUUGCAC